GACCAUCAGUAUUGCUGUGUUCUAGUAUAAAGGCAUAAGGGUGGAAUCAAGAGAGCAGUUUGAUAGUAGCUAAAGCUGAAACUUCUCUGAUAAUCCUUUCAAACUAAUAUUUUAAAAAGGCCUCAAAAUGACAUGAGUCAAAAACCAAAAGCAAGACAGAGUGAAGGACUCUCUUGUUGAACUCAACUUAAAAGGUGACUUCUUUGAGCCUCAACUCUUUGCAUCUCUUCAUCUGGAAAAUAAGAGAAAAUACAAGAGCACUUCUGCUUGCCUCACAGGAUUUUUAUGAGGACCAGUAAUUAUAAUGUGGAGCAAGGUUGGAGGAGUGAACUACAACUGCUCUGUCACCAAAAAAUCUUCUGAGACAAAUAUUAAAAUGUCACCACAAAACAAAUACAGGAGUGAAAGAACCAGCAAAGAGACAGAUCAAAACAAAUUUCAAGAAAAGAAAAUAACCAAAAGCUCUCCAUUGUGGCUCCAAGAACCUAGAGCAUGUGCAGUGGCCACACUCCGAUAAAGCCAUCUCUGCAGACCAACUAAACCAGGCUGAGGAUGAUCAGCAGGUUCUUAUCCCACUGUAAAUUAG
RNAcentral lists this long non-coding RNA (586 nucleotides) under Monodelphis domestica (gray short-tailed opossum). RNAcentral describes it as "lncRNA (ENSMODG00000044395.1)". Lineage: Eukaryota; Metazoa; Chordata; Mammalia; Didelphimorphia; Didelphidae. The record is from RNAcentral.